GAUGAACGCUGACAGAAUGCUUAACACAUGCAAGUCAACUUGAAUUUGGGUUUUUAACUUAGGUUUGGGUGGCGGACGGGUGAGUAACGCGUAAAGAACUUGCCUCACAGCUAGGGACAACAUUUGGAAACGAAUGCUAAUACCUAAUAUUAUGAUAAUAGGGCAUCCUAUAAUUAUGAAAGCUAUAAGCGCUGUGAGAGAGCUUUGCGUCCCAUUAGCUAGUUGGAGAGGUAACGGCUCACCAAGGCGAUGAUGGGUAGCCGGUCUGAGAGGGUGAUCGGCCACAAGGGGACUGAGACACGGCCCUUACUCCUACGGGAGGCAGCAGUGGGGAAUAUUGGACAAUGGAUCGAGAGUCUGAUCCAGCAAUUCUGUGUGCACGAUGAAGUUUUUCGGAAUGUAAAGUGCUUUCAGUUGGGAAGAAACAAAUGACGGUACCAACAGAAGAAGUGACGGCUAAAUACGUG
Molecule: ribosomal RNA, 467 nt
Filed under: uncultured bacterium
Lineage: Bacteria
Description: partial 16S ribosomal RNA
Rfam family: Bacterial small subunit ribosomal RNA
Source: RNAcentral